RNAcentral lists this ribosomal RNA (205 nucleotides) under Vibrio parahaemolyticus. RNAcentral describes it as "partial 23S ribosomal RNA". It matches the Rfam family "Bacterial large subunit ribosomal RNA", at positions 371 to 581 of the family's 2925-position model. The record is from RNAcentral. Lineage: Bacteria; Pseudomonadati; Pseudomonadota; Gammaproteobacteria; Vibrionales; Vibrionaceae.
UCCCGUAGUUGGCGACGUGUGUUCAGUGAAAUCGAGUAGGGCGGGACACGUGAUAUCCUGUCUGAAUAUGGGGGGACCAUCCUCCAAGGCUAAAUACUACUGACUGACCGAUAGUGAACCAGUACCGGGAGGGAAAGGCGAAAAGAACCCCUGUGAGGGGAGUGAAAUAGAACCUGAAACCGUGUACGUACAAGCAGUAGGAGCA